AGUGAACGCUGGCGGUAGGCCUAACACAUGCAAGUCGAACGGAAGCACAGUAAGAGUUUGCUCUUACGGGUGGCGAGUGGCGGACGGGUGAGGAAUACAUCGGAAUCUACUUUUUCGUGGGGGAUAACGUAGGGAAACUUACGCUAAUACCGCAUAUGAUCUACGGGUGAAAGCAGGGGAUCUUCGCACCUUGCGCGAUUGAAUGAGCCGAUGUCGGAUUAGCUAGUUGGCGGGGUAAAGGCCCACCAAGGCGACGAUCCGUAGCUGGUCUGAGAGGAUGAUCAGCCACACUGGAACUGAGACACGGUCCAGACUCCUACGGGAGGCAGCAGUGGGGAAUAUUGGACAAUGGGCGCAAGCCUGAUCCAGCCAUACCGCGUGGGUGAAGAAGGCCUUCGGGUUGUAAAGCCCUUUUGUUGGGAAAGAAAAGCAGCAGGUUAAUACCCCGCUGUUCUGACGGUACCCAAAGAAUAAGCACCGGCUAACUUCGUG
This 492-nucleotide ribosomal RNA is filed under the name uncultured bacterium. Its description in RNAcentral is "partial 16S ribosomal RNA". It matches the Rfam family "Bacterial small subunit ribosomal RNA", at positions 29 to 507 of the family's 1533-position model. The record is from RNAcentral.